Molecule: ribosomal RNA, 253 nt
Filed under: uncultured bacterium
Lineage: Bacteria
Description: partial 16S ribosomal RNA
Rfam family: Bacterial small subunit ribosomal RNA
Source: RNAcentral
UACGUAGGGGGCAAGCGUUGUCCGGAUUUAUUGGGCGGAAAGAGCGUGUAGGCGGCUAGACAGGUCCGCUGUGAAAACUCGAGGCUCAACCUCGAGAUGUCGGCGGAAACCGUCUGGCUAGAGUCCGGAAGAGGAGAGUGGAAUUCCUGGUGUAGCGGUGAAAUGCGCAGAUAUCAGGAAGAACACCUAUGGCGAAGGCAGCUCUCUGGGACGGUACUGACGCUGAGACGCGAAAGCGUGGGGAGCGAACAGG